RNAcentral lists this ribosomal RNA (437 nucleotides) under uncultured bacterium. RNAcentral's name for it is "partial 16S ribosomal RNA". It matches the Rfam family "Bacterial small subunit ribosomal RNA", at positions 29 to 507 of the family's 1533-position model. The record is from RNAcentral.
AGCGAACGCUGGCGGCAGGCUUAACACAUGCAAGUCGAACGAACAUUCCGGGGUUGGCGGCGGCCGGGUGGGUAGCAACUCGUAACGACGUGCUCGGCUCGGCAUAAUACCUGAGAAAAACUUGUGCUAAUACCUGUGACGUUCGGGGGCAAGAAUGUUCAUCUUUAGAAGGGCCGGCCGCCGUUUGGUUAGUUGGUUGGUGAGGUGAUGGCUCACCAAGGCGACGAGCAGUAGCUGGUCUGAGAGGAUGAUCAGCCACAUUGGGACUGAGACACGGCCCAGACUCCUACGGGAGGCAGCAGUGGGGAAUCUUGGACAAUGGGCGAAAGCCUGACGCAGCCAUGCCGCGUGAGUGAUGAAGGUCUUAGGAUUGUAAAGUUCUUUCACCCGGGACGAUAAUGACGGUACCCGGAGAAUAAGCCCCGGCUAACUUCGUG